RNAcentral lists this transfer RNA (58 nucleotides) under Trichinella pseudospiralis. RNAcentral's name for it is "tRNA-Thr". Lineage: Eukaryota; Metazoa; Nematoda; Enoplea; Trichinellida; Trichinellidae. The record is from RNAcentral.
AGCUUUUAUAGUUUAAUAAGAACAUAGAUCUUGUAAAUCUAAAGAACUCAAAAGCUAC